AGAGUUUGAUCCUGGCUCAGAAUGAACGCUGGCGGCGUGCUUAACACAUGCAAGUCGUGCGCGAAGGCGGCUUCGGCUGCCGGAGAGCGGCGAACGGGUGAGUAACACGUGGGUAAUCUGCCUGGGAGUGGGGGAUAACCUGGGGAAACCCGGGCUAACACCGCAUACGACGUCGGGUUUUCGGACCUGAUUUGAAAGCUGGCCUCUGCUUGCAAGCUAGCGCUCCCAGAGGAGCCCGCGGCUGAUUAGCUGGUUGGUGGGGUAAUGGCCUACCAAGGCGACGAUCAGUAGCCGGCCUGAGAGGGUGAUCGGCCACACUGGAACUGAGACACGGUCCAGACUCCUACGGGAGGCAGCAGUGGGGAAUAUUGGACAAUGGGCGCAAGCCUGAUCCAGCAACGCCGCGUGGAGGACGAAGGUCUUCGGAUCGUAAACUCCUGUCAGGUGGGACGAAGGUCCGGGGGUGAAUAAUCCUCGGACUUGACGGUACUACCAGAGGAAGCCCCGGCUAACUCCGUGCCAGCAGCCGCGGUAAUACGGAGGGGGCGAGCGUUAUUCGGAAUUAUUGGGCGUAAAGGGCGCGUAGGCGGCUUGAUAAGUCAAAGGUGAAAUCCCUCGGCUCAACUGAGGAACUGCCUUUGAAACUGUCUGGCUUUGAGGCCGGGAGGGGGUAGCGGAAUUCCAAUUACNCGUGUGAAAUGCUGUAAGAUNAUUGGGGAAGGAAACACCGGGUGGCGAAAGGCGGCUACCUUGAACCCGGUUUUGACGCUGAUUGCGCGAAAAGCGUGGGGUAGCAAAACCAGGAAUUAAGAAUACCCCCUNGUUAGUCCAACGCUGUAAACGAUGGGUGCUCGGUGUCGCGGGGUAUCGACCCCUGCGUUGCCUUAGCUAACGCGUUAAGCACCCCGCCUGGGGAGUACGNUCGCAAGGCUGAAACUCAAAGGAAUUGACGGGGGCCCGCACAAGCGGUGGAGCAUGUGGUUUAAUUCGAUGCAACGCGAAGAACCUUACCUGGGCUUGAACUGUGGUGGACCGUCCUGGAAACAGGGCUUCCCCUUCGGGGGCCGCCAUAGAGGUGCUGCAUGGCUGUCGUCAGCUCGUGUCGUGAGAUGUUGGGUUAAGUCCCGCAACGAGCGCAACCCCUAUCCCUAGUUGCCAUCGGGUCAAGCCGGGAACUCUAGGGAGACUGCCCCGGAAAUCGGGGAGGAAGGUGGGGAUGACGUCAAGUCCUCAUGGCCUUUAUGUCCAGGGCUACACACGUGCUACAAUGGGCGGCACAAAGGGUUGCGAUAGCGCGAGCUGGAGCUAAUCCCAGAAAACCGUCCUCAGUACGGAUUGCAGUCUGCAACUCGACUGCAUGAAGCUGGAAUCGCUAGUAAUCCCAGAUCAGCAUGCUGGGGUGAAUACGUUCCCGGGCCUUGUACACACCGCCCGUCACAUCACGAAAGUUGGUUGUACCGGAAGCCGGUGCGCUAACCCCUAGGGGAGGCAGCCGUCCAUGGUAUGCCCAGCGAUUGGGGUGAAGUCGUAACAAGGUAGCUGUAGGAGAACCUGUGGCUGGAUCACCUCCUU
Molecule: ribosomal RNA, 1572 nt
Filed under: uncultured bacterium
Lineage: Bacteria
Description: bacterial SSU rRNA
Rfam family: Bacterial small subunit ribosomal RNA
Source: RNAcentral